AGAGUUUGAUUCUGGCUCAGGAUGAACGCUAGCGACAGGCUUAACACAUGCAAGUCGAGGGGCAGCACGGUGUAGCAAUACACUGGUGGCGACCGGCGCACGGGUGAGUAACACGUGUGCAACCACCCCCGUACCGGGAGAUAACCCGCGGAAACGUGGACUAACAUCCCAUAACACUGGAAGAUCGCAUGAUCUUCCAUUUAAAAUUCCGGUGGUACGGGACGGGCACGCGCGACAUUAGGUAGUUGGCGGGGUAAUGGCCCACCAAGCCGACGAUGUCUAGGGGUUCUGAGAGGAAGGUCCCCCACACUGGAACUGAGACACGGUCCAG
Molecule: ribosomal RNA, 331 nt
Filed under: uncultured bacterium
Lineage: Bacteria
Description: bacterial SSU rRNA
Rfam family: Bacterial small subunit ribosomal RNA
Source: RNAcentral